GGUUCUUUCCCUUGCUCGAUGCAAAAACUGCCUUCCCCACAUGGCCUUGCGCCUAGGCGCAUGAGCCCUCCAUAGCUUUAGCGCAUCUAUUAUGCUGCCUUGCUGAGGAUAAAAAGAAGAGCAACUGGAGGAACUAUAAGGCAAACGUUGCUGGAGCUGCCGGGGCAAAGUUGCAUGGGUGGGCCCUGGCAAUGGGAUAUCCAUCCCAUUCAGGGAGCAUAAAGGAAGACCGGGAAUCUCCUAGUGGCUGCUGCAACA
Pelodiscus sinensis (Chinese soft-shelled turtle) is the source of this 258-nucleotide non-coding RNA. Lineage: Eukaryota; Metazoa; Chordata; Testudines; Trionychidae. The record is from RefSeq and is a predicted model, not a curated record.